RNAcentral lists this ribosomal RNA (466 nucleotides) under uncultured bacterium. Its description in RNAcentral is "SSU rRNA". It matches the Rfam family "Bacterial small subunit ribosomal RNA", at positions 26 to 518 of the family's 1533-position model. The record is from RNAcentral.
AGGACGAACGCUUGCGACGUGCCUAAGAAAUGCAAGUCGAGCGAGGAGCAAUCCUAGCGGCGAACGGUCGCGUAACACGUAAGCAACCUGCCCCAAAGACCGGGACAACGUUCCGAAAGGAGCGCUAAUACCGGAUGUGACCUUUUCCUGACAUCGGGGAAAGAUUAAAGCGCGCAAUCGGCUUUGGGAGGGGCUUGCGGCCUAUCAGCUAGAUGGUGGGGUAACGGCCUACCAUGGCGACGACGGGUAGCUGGUCUGAGAGGACGGUCAGCCGGAUUGGGACUGAGAUACGGCCCAGACUCCUACGGGGGGCAGCAAUUAGGAAUCUUGCGCAAUGGGCGAAAGCCUGACGCAGCGACGUCGCGUGGGGGAGGAAGGCUUUCGGGUUGUAAACCCCUUUUAUCGAGGAAGAAACAAAUGACGGUACUCGAUGAAUAAGCCCGGCUAACUCCGUGCCAGCAGCCGC